GACGUAGGGCGCAAGCGUUGUCCGGAUUUAUUGGGCGGAAAGAGCUCGUAGGCGGCUUGUCGCGUCGACUGUGAAAACCUGCGGCUCAACCGUAUGGUCUGCAGUCGAUACGGGCAGGCUAGAGUUCGGUAGGGGAGACUGGAAUUCCUGGUGUAGCGGUGAAAUGCGCAGAUAUCAGGAGGAACACCGGUGGCGAAGGCGGGUCCCUGGACAACACCUGACACUGAGGCACGAAAGCUAGGGGAGCAAACAGG
This 254-nucleotide ribosomal RNA is filed under the name uncultured bacterium. Its description in RNAcentral is "partial 16S ribosomal RNA". It matches the Rfam family "Bacterial small subunit ribosomal RNA", at positions 524 to 776 of the family's 1533-position model. The record is from RNAcentral.